AACCUUGUAGUGAAAUUCACAGCAGAUUGCAAAUCUGCGAAUACACUUUAGUUGGUGUCCUGGUUU
This 66-nucleotide transfer RNA is filed under the name Nilssonia formosa. Its description in RNAcentral is "tRNA-Cys". The record is from RNAcentral. Lineage: Eukaryota; Metazoa; Chordata; Testudines; Trionychidae.